RNAcentral lists this ribosomal RNA (492 nucleotides) under uncultured bacterium. RNAcentral's name for it is "partial 16S ribosomal RNA". It matches the Rfam family "Bacterial small subunit ribosomal RNA", at positions 29 to 507 of the family's 1533-position model. The record is from RNAcentral.
AGUGAACGCUGGCGGUAGGCCUAACACAUGCAAGUCGAACGGCAGCACAGUAAGAGCUUGCUCUUACGGGUGGCGAGUGGCGGACGGGUGAGGAAUACAUCGGAAUCUACUUUUUCGUGGGGGAUAACGUAGGGAAACUUACGCUAAUACCGCAUACGACCUACGGGUGAAAGCAGGGGAUCUUCGGACCUUGCGCGAUUGAAUGAGCCGAUGUCGGAUUAGCUAGUUGGCGGGGUAAAGGCCCACCAAGGCGACGAUCCGUAGCUGGUCUGAGAGGAUGAUCAGCCACACUGGAACUGAACCACGGUCCAGACUCCUACGGGAGGCAGCAGUGGGGAAUAUUGGACAAUGGGCGCAAGCCUGAUCCAGCCAUACCGCGUGGGUGAAGAAGGCCUUCGGGUUGUAAAGCCCUUUUGUUGGGAGAGAAAAGCAGCAGGUUAAUACCCCGCUGUUCUGACGGUACCCAAAGAAUAAGCACCGGCUAACUUCGUG